Molecule: unclassified non-coding RNA, 338 nt
Filed under: uncultured Typhula
Lineage: Eukaryota; Fungi; Basidiomycota; Agaricomycetes; Agaricales; Typhulaceae
Description: partial contains 5.8S ribosomal RNA, internal transcribed spacer 2, and large subunit ribosomal RNA
Rfam family: 5.8S ribosomal RNA (bases 1-52)
Source: RNAcentral
AACGCACCUUGCACUCUUUGGUAUUCCGAAGAGUAUGCCUGUUUGAGUGUCAUGAAAUCUUCAACCAUUCUGUUGGGUGUUUACGCCUGGCGGUUUGGAUUGGACUUGGGUGUUUGUCGGACAAGUAAUUGUCUGACUCACCUUAAAAGGACCAGUGGAUCUAUUGUCUUGGACUUUCGCAUUGCAAUUGGUUUGACUUGGCGUAAUAAGUAUUUCGCUAAGGACAGUGCUUCGGUGCUGGCCAUUGCUUUUCAACCGGACUUUGGAAAUCUGCUUUCAAACCCUAAUUUUAUUUGACAUCUGGCCUCAAAUCAGGUAGGACUACCCGCUGAACUUAA